RNAcentral lists this long non-coding RNA (2982 nucleotides) under Salmo salar (Atlantic salmon). RNAcentral's name for it is "lncRNA (ENSSSAG00000089582.1)". The record is from RNAcentral. Lineage: Eukaryota; Metazoa; Chordata; Actinopteri; Salmoniformes; Salmonidae.
CAUCAUUUGACCUGGCCUCCACAAUCACCCGACCUCAACCCAAUUGAGAUGGUUUGGACCGCAGAGUGAUGGAAAAGCAGCCAACAAGUGCUCAGCAUAUGUGGGAACUCCUUUAAGACUGUUGGAAAAGCAUUCCAGGUGAAGCUUGUUGAGUGAAUGCCAAGAGUGUGCAAAGCUGUCAUCAAGGCAAAAGAUCCUCUCAAGCUCUGUCAGGUUGGAUGGGGAGCGAAGGUGCGCACAGGACCUCAGACUGGGGGUGAAGGUUCACCUUCCAACAGGACAAUGACCCAAAGCACACAGCUAAGAAAACUCAUGAGUGGCUUCGGGACAAGUCUCUGAAUGUCCUUGAGUGGCCCAGUCAGAGCCCUGACUUGAACAUGAUCGAAACAUCUCUGGAGAGACCUGAAAAUACCUAAGGUGCUUCAACAAAGUACUGAGAAAAGGGUCUGAAUACUUAUGUAAAUGUGAUAUUAAAUUUUUUUGCAAACAUUUGCUUUGUCAUUAUGGGUAUUGUUUGUAGAUUGAUGAGGAUAUAUAUUUUUUAUCCAUUUUAGAAUAAGGCUGUAACGUAACAAAAUGUGGAAAGUCAAGGGCUCUGAAUACUUUCUGAAUGCACUGUAUAUCCCACUGGGCACACACUGGUUGAAUCAACAUUGUUUUCAUGUAAUUUCAAUGUAAUUUCAAUGAAAUUGCGUUAAACCAACAUGGAAUAGACAUUGAAUUGACAUCUGUGCCCAGUGGGAUAGUGCUACAUAAUUUUAUCUUAGGUCAUUGCUGCAAAUGAUGCCAAGAAAACCUUAAUGAUCUCUAAUGACUACUAAGACAUAUGAAUCCGAUAUAUUAAAACAAGACAUACUGUACCAAGGUUAAUAAAGUACUAUCUUAUCUUAAGGUUAGUGAGGUCAUUGCUGCAAAUGAUCUCAAGAAAACAUCUAUUACGACCUGUUAGCGUAACUGUUCCGCUUGCGGCUUUCUUAAGAGCACUAACUUGUAUUUUUUGCAAACAAGAAAAGCUAGCACUUCGGCUGCACGGGUGGUGGUAUUUCAAGCUAAAGAGUAAGUUUAACCAAUUCAACUUGGUUACAUAAGGUAAUUUUGCCCUGAAGCUCAUUGGCUAACAGCAGCAUGAUAAAACAAGCAACUGUGGUACAUCUUGACAUCAUUAUGUAGAUAAGAUCUUGAAUUCACCAGAUAGCGGGUCCACCAGGGUUCUUUAGGGUUAUUGAUGGCCAGCCAGGUUCUGUGAUUGUGCAGGUUUCGGUAGGACACAUACAGCAUUUGGAAGCUGUGAAUUGGCAUAACCCAUUUAAAAAACAGGGAUGGAAGAAGGUCACUGUAAAAACACAAAAGAUGUUCCAUAUUUAGUAUUGCCUUUCUUGGUUCUGCACAUAGGCCCACUGUAUUUAUUUUGUCAUAUUUUAAAAUCCCAAAAUAUGUAUCUUAAAGGGGAAGUUUAUAUUUUAAGGUCCAAUGCAGCUGUUUUUAUCUCCAUAUCAAUCAUUUCUGGGUAACAAUACAGUAACUUACUGUGAUUGUUUCCAAUUAAAAUUGUCAUCAAAAAGAUCCAUUUCUCAAGCAAGAAUGUUGCUAAGACUGUCUGGGAGUGGUCUGAGUGGGAAGGGAAACUGAAAAAUAGCUGUUAUUGGCAGAGAAGUUUGGAACUCGCUUUCUUAUUGGUCUGUUAUCUAAUUUACCGCCUGUGUGAUGUCACCAGGCAGGCCAAAUCUCCAUCCCAGAUAAACAGACUAAAAUUUCAGGUGGUCUUUUCAAACAGCUCUUAAACUAAAAGGGUAUUAUCAUAAUUUAAACAAUUUCACAGUAUUAUUCAAACCUCAUAGUGUAGAAAAACAGUUAAAGUCGGAAGUUUACGUACACCUUAGCCAAAUACAUUUAAACUCAGUUUUUCACAAUUCCUGACAUUUAAUCCUAGUAAAGAUUCCCUGUGUUAGGUCAGUUAGGAUCACCACUUUAUUUUAAGAAUGUGAAAGGUCAGAAUAAUAGUAAAAAGAAUGAUUUAUUUCAGCUUUUAAUUCUUUCAUCACAUUCCCCGUGGGUCAGACGUUUACAUACACUCAAUUAGUAUUUGGUAUAUUUGCCUUUACAUUGUUUAACUUGGGUCAAAUGUUUCGGGUAGCCUUCCACAAGCUUCCCACAAUAAGUUGGGUGAAUUUUCUUCCAUUCCUCCUGACAAAGCUGGUGUAACUGAGUCAGGUUUGUAGGCUUCCUUGCUCGCACACGCUUUUUCAGUUCUGCCCACAAAUUGUCUAUUGGAUUAAGUCAGGUGUGAUGGUCACUCCAAUACCUUGACUUUGUUGUCCUUAAGCCAUUUUGUCACAACUUUGGAAUUAUGCUUGGGGUUAUUGUCCAUUUGGAAGACCCAUUUGCAACCAAGCUUUAACUUCCUGACUGAUGUCUUGAGAUGUUGCUUCAAUACAUCCACAUAAUUCUCCCUCUUCAUGAUGCCAUCUAUUUUGUGAAGUGCACCAGUCCCCCCUACAGCAAAGCACCCCCACAACAUGAUGCUGUCACCCCUGUUCUUCACGGUUGGGAUGGUGUCCUUCAGCUUGCAAGCAUCCCUCUUUUUCCUCCAAACAUAACAAUGGUCAUUUUGGCCAAACAGUUCUAUUUUUGUUUCAUGAGACCAGAGGACAUUUCUCCAAAAAGUACGAUCUUUGUCCCCAUGUGCAGUUGCAAACCGUAGUCUGGCUUUUUUAUGGCGGUUUUGGAGCAGUGGCUUCUUCCUUGCUGAGUGGCCUUUCAGGUUAUGUCAAUAUAGCACUCAUUUUACUAUGGAUAUAGAUACUUUUGUACCUGUUUCCUCCAGCAUCUUCACAAGGUCCUUUGCUGCUGUUCUGGGAUUGAUUUGCACUUUUCACACCAAAGUACAUACAUCUCUAGGAGACAGAACUUGCCUCCUUCCUGAGCGGUAUGACGGCUGCUUGGUCCCAUGGUGUUUAUACUUGUGUACUAUUGUUUGUACAG